This 252-nucleotide ribosomal RNA is filed under the name uncultured bacterium. RNAcentral describes it as "partial 16S ribosomal RNA". It matches the Rfam family "Bacterial small subunit ribosomal RNA", at positions 524 to 776 of the family's 1533-position model. The record is from RNAcentral.
UACGUAGGUGGCAAGCGUUAUCCGGAUUUAUUGGGCGUAAAGCGAGCGCAGGUGGUUUAUUAAGUCUGGUGUAAAAGGCAGUGGCUCAACCAUUGUAUGCAUUGGAAACUGGUAGACUUGGGUGCAGGAGAGGAGAGUGGAAUUCCAUGUGUAGCGGUGAAAUGCGUAGAUAUAUGGAGGAACACCGGUGGCGAAAGCGGCUCUCUGGCCUGUAACUGACACUGAGGCUCGAAAGCGUGGGGAGCAAACAGG